UAAGUGAGGCAGGUAAUGCCACCUGGUGUUCAUUAGCACACAUGGGAGUACAUGUGUGUGUAUUAGUGCUUGUUUUCUGGGUCACUUUUGCCAUUAUAUAACAAUCUGUAGUCUGUAAAUAGCGUAGUUCAAAGAAGGUACUGUUUGCAGGAUAUCCAGUGGGGGCUGUUUUGUUUUGUGGUGUUUGUUUUUAAAAGCAUCACUGUCCUUUUCAUCUUUGCAUUUUUAGGGAAAUUCCUAGAAGCAGCUAUCCAGCAAGAAGGAUGCACAUCAUUGAUGAGGACCUCCUCCUAGGAACAAAGAACCAGGAAAAGAAAGCAAUCAAGGAAAAAAAGUGAGUGUGAACCAGAACAGAAAUGGAGAAAGACUGAAAAGGGGAAAAAAGUAGAAAACCUAAGAAAGCCAAAAAGCCUGAAGAUAAACAUCAAAGGUACUACAGAUGCAAACUACCCAUCAAAACCAUCACCUCACUAUAAAGAGAGCCAACAAGGACAAGACUUGCUGUACUAAAAAAGCUCUCCAUCAAAUCCAGGCUUUAACCUCUGAAACCAACCACUCAGCGUUAUCAAAAUCAGCAUCUUAAUUAUUCUUUUCUUUAAUCAGUAAUUCCCUUUCAUGACACUGCAGGGCUUUUAGGUCUUUAAACAAAUGUAAUCUUAAUUGAAUAAAGGAAUAAAAAUUAAUGGCCACUUUAAUCUCUCAGAUCACCCUCCUCCUGCAGCAGCCAGGCGUCUGUCAGCUCUCCUUAGCACUUUCCUUUUGGACAGCCUCUGGUCUUGUGUGUGACACAGGAACUUCACUGGCUGUGCUCGUGAGGUGAGCGUAGCAGAGCUCCUCUGGGGGAGUUCCCAGUCUGACUCUGGAGUCUCCUCCCACUAAGUGCAGCUGUUCAGAGGGAAUGACUGCUCUUACUGCACAUGAGCAGGGAACCUGCCUUAAUUACGGUUUCAUCUGAAUAAGUUGUCUGGUGUGUUAAG
Lagopus muta (rock ptarmigan) is the source of this 977-nucleotide long non-coding RNA. RefSeq lists it as uncharacterized. NCBI's taxonomy places the organism in Eukaryota, Metazoa, Chordata, Aves, Galliformes, Phasianidae. The record is from RefSeq and is a predicted model, not a curated record. The transcript is spliced from 3 exons.